ACAUUUGAAAAGAAUUCCGUUGCGUUGUUGGAGUUGCAGUUUAUUGAGCUCGAUCGAGAAGUGCGACGAAGAAGGCCGUUAAUAAUUCUUUUAAAGAAUACGGGUCAGAUAUGGACAACGACUUCGAAGACAUUUGCAGUAGGCUAAACAGGGAAAGAGAGGGAGAACCAAAACUCCCUGUCCUGGCAUCACACUUGAGGAGGAGAUGAAGUCAGUGAAUAUGACCUAGCCCGGGGGAGUUUCCAGAAGGCCCAGAACCGCCGGCCGCCAGGAGUGGAGGUCCUUCGUUGUUGCCCUACGUGCCAAGCGGCAUCAGGCAGUAGAUGCUGUAAGUGUACCCAGUCAUCUGGUUUCGUAACACCUUUUAUAGCGCUAUUGGAACCUGCUCCCUACCAGUAUAACAUCGAACAGAUUGGAAGAAUAAAGGCCAAUGGGAAGUGCCUUGUAUACCCCUACUUGCCGCACAGCAGUCCGUGGUUUAGCGCAAUCUAAACUUGACUAUUGUAGCUCUUCGUGCUUGAAUUAGGGUGAUCUGGACCGACUGCAGAUAGUACAGAAUGCUGCAUCUAUUGUGCCAUUUGCCAUACGCCCACUUCGCUGGCUGCAAGUCAAGGAAAGGAUAUACAUAAACAUCAGUGUCCGUCUACUGAUUUUCAAAGUCAAUGACAGGGGUCCAGAUUACAUGUAUUAAAAGGAAUGCCUUGUGCGUCAUUUUCAUUCUAGGCGCACUUGCCUUUUUAUUUUUGUGAUCCUUAGUCUACGAUGCACCUACAAAUUAGCUACUGGUGAUGCAACUUUCUCCACUACUGCUCCAAGGCCAUGGAAUUAGCUCCACCCUCUCCUCCAAUUUUCAACAACCUUGGAUCAAUAUACUUUGAGAAGACCUACCACAUUCCUGAUCAUCUUUGCUCUGGACUUGGAACAACACUGUCACUGCCUGGUAAUUUAAUUUUUUUUAAUCUCAUGUGCUGACUAGGAUGGCAUCUGAAAGUGCUUUGUAUCUCACAAAUAAUGUGUUGUGUAAAAGAGAACAGGCAUUGAGGUCAAGCAUAAGGGUAACCAUGGAUAUGGCCUUUGAUUACUUUUUAACAAAAACUGAAAAAUUCAUCAAAAUAGGACAAGGGGUAAUAAAGUAAUGUAUGGCAUUCUAAGCUCUGCAUUAUUUUGGUGAAAGACCUCUAAGCAUGUGCAAGUAGCAGGCUGAUGAUGUCAUACAGACGUACACGUACAUGUAUCCCAAACGUAUGAUUUUGUAUAUAUAAAAUUGUGUAUUUAAAUUGGAUUGUAAACUGCAUUGAUGUGACUUACCUGUAUUGAUUAUUGCUGGAAGUUUUUUUGCUACAUGGGAUUGGAAGACAUACUUAUUACACACAUGAAAUAUUAUUUCAUCUGGUAACAGAACAAUAAAAAUGUGGGCAUGAUAUCAUAAACUUAUCUACUUGCAUGUGUUAAUGACCAAUAUUUUUGUAAUUAUUUUUUAUCUGAUUUUGAUAAAAUUUUCACUAUUUUGCAUGGUAAAAAUUACUUUAUUUAUCAUAGAUAUAAUUGUUGAGCCCGAAUCAUAUACAAGUACCCCUUUAAAGAUAAAUUACCAGUUGUAGUAACAAUCUUCAAAUGAGUUCGAACAUAAUCAAAUAAAAUUACUAGCAAAGUGUUUGUAUGUAACAGAUACGUGCCAAAUAGCUCAGGAGAAAAUGCGUAAUUGCUGAGAAAUGAGCAAAAUAAGCAUGUAAAUCUAUCAAAUGUCAGGUAUUUUUCAAAUCAAUUAUAAUACACUGUCCUGUCUCACAUAUGUUUUUCUGUGUUAGUGAUCAUCAGAAUUAUUGAUUUUAAGUUCAAAAUUCAUGAUUUUACAAAGAUACAAGUUUACAUUAAUGUACCAGAUCUAGAUCAUGUACAAUAUUUUGACAAUUAACCUUAAUUUAAAAGACUUUCUCAAGAAAUAAUUGUUUGCUGCAUUUACCCCUAAGUGAUAAUGUAAUACAUGUACAAUCACAAACUUUUCAUAAGAAUUAAUGUACAUGUAUGAUUCUUUCACCCAAAUGCAAGCUUCCAUAAAUCCUGAAAUCAUGGUAUUUUUUUUUUACAUACAGUAUAUUUUUACCUACAUUACAUAGUUCUCUAAAGUUGAAGGUAGAUUUAAUUACAAUUUCAACAAAAAAGCUAUAUUCUUCGAGAUCAUUAUUAUUCAUAAUGCCUCUGUUAUGUAUUAAUGUGUAUCUAUGUAUUGGUAUAACAAACAUUGUAAUUAUUUCAUUCCUUUGACCCUAAUACUGCAUUUUCAUAGAAAAGUGUUUUUUUUUAAAUCUAUUUAGAGUUUUUAAACUUUUUCUUUUCUUUUUUUUUGCUGGUAAUAUCAUGUUAUGCAACUUUUAUUUAUUAAUAGAAUAUUUGUCAUGAUUUCCUAAUUGAAAUGCGUACUUGUAUUUGAUUUCGUUUUCCAUUUUUGUAUAUAUUCUUUUUCUGGGGGGGGGGGGGGUCAUGUUCUUGAGACUGUGUCGAGUUAUGCAAGCCCUGGCAUGGAGGAUCAUUAUAUUGUUACUGGGAAUGUUGGACAUUGUCAGACCACCUCAGUAUUCACCAACAAUAGAUAAUCCUCAAUGACAAGGUCUUUGAAGUGGUGUGUGUACAUUACAUGUAGAAUUUAAUUUAAAUGUUUAUGUCAUCACGUCAGAAUACGUUAAAAUACCAUAGUUGACUCCAAAAGACGUCAUAUUCAUUUCAAUAUGCGACUUCAAUAUGACGUCUAUUACUAGUCAGCAAUAUGUUUCAAAGUCGUCAUUCAGACGUCGUAGUUGACUUAUAAAGACGUCAUAAUUACAGCAAUAUGACGUCUGAAACUGGUCAGGAAUAGGUUACAAAGUUGUCAUUAAGACGUCGUAGUUGACUUUUAAAGACGUCAUAAUUACAUCAAUAUGACGUCUAAAACCGGUCAGGAAUAGGUUGCACGGACGUCAUUACGACGUCGUAGUCGACUCUCGAAGACGUCAUAAUCACGUCAAUACACGACGUCAAGCUGACCCUUGAUACUGGUCAGGAAAACGUUGUAAAAACGUUGCAAAGACGUCAUUAAGACGUCGUAGUCAAUCUUGGAGACGUCAUAAUGACGUCAAUAUACGACGUCAUAAUGACGUUAUUCGCGGGUGCAAGAUCCCGUCAAUAAGACGUCAUGUUACGACGUCAAAAUGACGUGACACUCGUCGUUAAACUGACGUAAUUAUGACGUCAUUUUUACCAGUUUCUGCUAUCAGGGUAUGUCUUCCAGUUUCAAUGGGUAGAUUAUGGGAACUUAUUCUGAAUCGACAGAUGUUUUUCCGUAUUUUCUGAUUUUUAACAGUUAAUAGAUAUUUCUCUGUUUGUAUAUUCAGUUUAAAAACUUAAGUUCUCAAUUUAUUUUGUUCAACAUCAUUUGCUCGAUCAUUACGUAAAUCCAAUAAGAACUGGAGAUUGAAAAUAUCUUCAACUUUGUUUUUUAUUUCUUCUUCUAAUACUCUAUCACUAUCGAUUAUCUCACCUAGUUCUAAACAAUUCUUAUUCACAUCCAAAUAUAUGUUAAAUCCCUUAAGAAGGUACAUGUAUAUGUGCAUGUCCGUAAUAGAUGGGAGCGGGUGUGUGUUGGAAAGUGUAUACCUUUUUAAAAGAAGGGAAAGUUCUCCCUGAAGAAAAGUUUGUUGU
Lytechinus pictus (painted urchin) is the source of this 3675-nucleotide long non-coding RNA. RefSeq lists it as uncharacterized. The transcript is spliced from 3 exons. The record is from RefSeq and is a predicted model, not a curated record. NCBI's taxonomy places the organism in Eukaryota, Metazoa, Echinodermata, Echinoidea, Temnopleuroida, Toxopneustidae.